This 1562-nucleotide long non-coding RNA is filed under the name Homo sapiens (human). RNAcentral describes it as "HSALNT0030959". The record is from RNAcentral. Lineage: Eukaryota; Metazoa; Chordata; Mammalia; Primates; Hominidae.
AUUUACAUAAACAAUAAACUCAAUCCAACUGCCCCCCCCAAAUACAUCUUUGUUUACAGUAAAUGCAACCUAAAGCCAGAUUCGUGGAGGCGGGAGAGGUUCUUUACGUAGGCAAUAUGAUUAGGCCAGCAGUUUUGCAACUGUGCAGGAGAGCAGGACUGUGUGUAUUUCCUCUCUUGCAAUCAGCAGGGAGAAAAUGGUUUUUAAUGUUCUCCACGCUUCCUAUAUCAUAGAUAUUUAAAUAUUUGGACCACUCAAUAUGCUAAAACGCUUGCACCAGCCACACAAAUUGACUUCCACGUUUCUGCUAGGGCUGCAGGUGCCUUUCCAGGGGAGGAGAAAAUGGAAGGCAUGGAAGAGAAGAGCUAAAAGGCUGCCAGAGGCUGGUACCCAAGCGCCUCAGUGGAUUCACAGGACCAUGGAAGAGGGGACUGCAUUUCUCCAGAGCAGACAACCCUUGGUGGAGAAACUGAGGCCCCACAGAUAAGUAAAUUUCAGAGCUAAAGCAGAGCCUGGGGCCUUGCCUCCCAAUUCAGUGCUUUCUGUCUGUCUAGAAUCAGCACCCAGGCCUCACUGGCACCUCAGCCAAAGGUGUUUCCAUGAUCUUCAGAGGCCCAGCCUGGGUGAGCUGACAGGCUACUCUGGGCAGCAGGGAGGAGGUGACAGAGAAGGAGUUCAGGGAACAGGAAUGUCCAACUAGCAAGUGUCAACCACAAAGCAGAAGGACCUCAGGAACUUCUCCCUGUGGAUAGGAACAGUGGUCUGCCAAGGAAUUUCAUCUUAUGUGCCUAUGAAAGCUUUCAAACAUAUAAUUAUGUAAUUUACUUCUUCGAACUGGUGCAGUUGACGAUGAGAUGGCAGCCUGCUCCAUCUCCGCUGUGCCCCACAGCUUUCCUGGAAUUUUUUUUCUGAACUCUCUAGCACAGGGUUGGCCGUUUCUUGUACAUCUUCUCAGCAAAAAGCGCCCAGAGACCCUAGGAACAUCACAAGAGGGACCUUAGACAAGAGAAUUUUACACUUUACCACAGGGAGCUGUGGGCCACCAUUGAAGAUGUGAUCAUUCAAUCAACAUUGAUUGCCACUGUGCAGGGGGCUGCGGAAAAUACAGGAAAAACCAAAGUUCACAGCUCACCAUGCCAAGGGUAGGGACAGCUGAGGAGGAUCAUCUGGAUCUAUUGAGAACAAAGCACUGGAGAGAGGCUGAAAGUCACCUUACCGGGGCUGGCUGCAACAUCUCGAUCCCUCCACCAAUUCAGCCUGAUCCUCCGAGGCCUAGAACUUGGCUGCCCAUAUUGUGAGUGCACAUGAGCGCUCCUCCAACUGAAAGUUAAUGGUGACCUGUACUCACCUGUCUGCAAUGAUGAAUGCUCCCAGGCCCUACCUGGUGUUGACCCCUCUCUUCUCAGCUGGAUCCCUUCCUGCAAGCUCAGCAUCUGAUAGGACCAAGUCUGAUCAGCAGGUAAGCUCGCUGAGAAUCAGAUACAGUCCCCAUUGCUAUUAGCCCAGCACAGACUCUGGGCUUCCUUCCAGCCUGGAUGAUUCUUUCAUCAGAUAUUUAUUGC